RNAcentral lists this ribosomal RNA (473 nucleotides) under uncultured bacterium. RNAcentral describes it as "partial 16S ribosomal RNA". It matches the Rfam family "Bacterial small subunit ribosomal RNA", at positions 29 to 523 of the family's 1533-position model. The record is from RNAcentral.
AACAAACGCUGGCGGCGUGCCUAAUACAUGCAAGUCGAACGAAUGUAGCAAUACAUGAGUGGCGUACGGGUGAGUAACACGUGGAUAAUCUUCCUUUAAGUGGGGAAUAACCAAUCGAAAGAUUGGCUAAUACCGCAUAAGACCACAGUUUCUUCGGAGACAGGGGUUAAAGGCUUCGGCCGCUUUUAGAUGAGUCUGCGUCCGAUUAGCUAGUUGGUGAGGUAAUGGCUCACCAAGGCGACGAUCGGUAACUGGUCUGAGAGGAUGACCAGUCACACUGGGACUGAGACACGGCCCAGACUCCUGCGGGAGGCAGCAGUAGGGAAGAUUGCACAAUGGAGGAAACUCUGAUGCAGCGACGCCGCGUGAGUGAUGAAGGCCUUCGGGUUGUAAAGCUCUGUUCUCAGGGAAUAAUAAAUUGAAGGUACCUGAGAAGAAAGGACCGGCUAACUUCGUGCCAGCAGCCGCAGUAA